Molecule: ribosomal RNA, 533 nt
Filed under: uncultured bacterium
Lineage: Bacteria
Description: bacterial SSU rRNA
Rfam family: Bacterial small subunit ribosomal RNA
Source: RNAcentral
AUGAACGCUGGCGGCAUGCCUAAGACAUGCAAGUCGAACGAGAUGGCCUUUGAAACUGCGUACUUGUACAAAGUUCGAUUAAGAAUUUCCAUCUAGUGGCAGACGGGUGAGUAAUACAUAAGUAAUCUACCUUAGAGACUGGGAUAACGUUUGGAAACGAACGCUAAUACCGGAUAAUUCUUCUUACAUAAGUAAGAAAGCUAAAAGGAGCGUUUGCUUCACUUUAAGAUGAGCUUAUGGCGUAUUAACUAGUUGGUGGGGUAAUGGCCUACCAAGGUGACGAUGCGUAGCCGAACUGAGAGGUUGAUCGGCCACAUUGGGACUGAGACACGGCCCAAACUCCUACGGGAGGCAGCAGUUAGGAAUAUUCGUCAAUGGGGGGAAACCCCUGAACGAGCAAUGCCGCGUGAGUGAUUGACGGUCUUUAUGAUUGUAAAACUCUGUUGUAAGGAAAGAAACCUUGUCAUAGGAAAUGAUGAUAAGCUGACGGUACCUUACCAGAAAGCCCCGGCUAACUACGUGCCAGCAGCCGC